Molecule: ribosomal RNA, 540 nt
Filed under: uncultured bacterium
Lineage: Bacteria
Description: bacterial SSU rRNA
Rfam family: Bacterial small subunit ribosomal RNA
Source: RNAcentral
GGUGGGGGGGGGCCUUACCAUGCCAAGUCGAACGAGGUAGCAAUACCUAGUGGCAGACGGGUGAGUAACACGUAGCCCUUCUACCUUUUAGUGGGGGAUAACUAGCCGAAAGGUUGGCCAUUACCGCAUACGAUCUUUGAGUGGCAUCACUUGAAGCUGAAAGCAGCAAUGCGCUAAGAGACGGGACUGCGUCCCAUUAGCUAGUUGGUGGGGUAAUGGCCUACCAAGGCUCCGAUGGGUAGCUGGCUUGAGAGAGCGACCAGCCACACUGGAACUGAGACACGGUCCAGACUCCUACGGGAGGCUGCAGUGAGGAAUUUUCCGCAAUGGGGGCAACCCUGACGGAGCGACGCCGCGUGUGGGAAGAAGGCCUUCGGGUCGUAAACCACUGUCGAAGGGGACGAUAUUGACGGUACCCUUGGAGGAAGCCCCGGCUAACUACGUGCCAGCAGCCGCGGUAAGACGUAGGGGGCAAGCGUUGUCCGGAAUCAUUGGGCGUAAAGCGCUCGUAGGCGGAUCUUUAAGUCUGUGAAGAAAGAC